This 447-nucleotide ribosomal RNA is filed under the name uncultured bacterium. RNAcentral describes it as "bacterial SSU rRNA". It matches the Rfam family "Bacterial small subunit ribosomal RNA", at positions 355 to 825 of the family's 1533-position model. The record is from RNAcentral.
UCGGGAAUUUUGGGCAAUGGGCGAAAGCCUGACCCAGCAACGCCGCGUGAAGGAUGAAGUAUUUCGGUAUGUAAACUUCGUAAGAAUAGGAAGAAUAAAUGACGGUACUAUUUGUAAGGUCCGGCUAACUACGUGCCAGCAGCCGCGGUAAUACGUAGGGACCAAGCGUUGUUCGGAUUUACUGGGCGUAAAGGGCGCGUAGGCGGUGUGUCAAGUCAGUUGUGAAAUCUCCGAGCUUAACUCGGAACGGUCAACUGAUACUGUCACACUAGAGUACAGAAGGGGCAAUCGGAAUUCUUGGUGUAGCGGUGAAAUGCGUAGAUAUCGGAAGGAACACCAGUGGCGAAGGCGGCUUCCUGGUCCAACACUGACGCUGAGGCGCGAAAGCGUGGGGAGCAAACAGGAUUAGAUACCCUUGUAGUCCCUGAGCGGGCUGGCAAGGCGCAU